UACAGAGGUCUCAAGCGUUGUUCGGAUUCAUUGGGCGUAAAGGGUGCGUAGGUGGCGUCGUAAGUCAGGUGUGAAAUCUCGGGGCUUAACUCCGAAACUGCAUUUGAUACCGCGGUGCUUGAGGACUGGAGAGGAGACUGGAAUUUACGGUGUAGCAGUGAAAUGCGUAGAGAUCGUAAGGAAGACCAGUGGCGAAGGCGGGUCUCUGGACAGUUCCUGACACUGAGGCACGAAGGCCAGGGGAGCAAACGGG
This 253-nucleotide ribosomal RNA is filed under the name uncultured bacterium. Its description in RNAcentral is "partial 16S ribosomal RNA". It matches the Rfam family "Bacterial small subunit ribosomal RNA", at positions 524 to 776 of the family's 1533-position model. The record is from RNAcentral.